RNAcentral lists this small RNA (143 nucleotides) under Escherichia coli. RNAcentral's name for it is "QUAD RNA". It matches the Rfam family "Short Intergenic Abundant RNA". Rfam says of the family: This family contains multiple ncRNA from E. coli that were identified in a large scale screen of E. coli, were they were called candidates 43,55 and 61. These RNAs have also been identified by other groups and called QUAD RNAs. Lineage: Bacteria; Pseudomonadati; Pseudomonadota; Gammaproteobacteria; Enterobacterales; Enterobacteriaceae. The record is from RNAcentral.
UUGACAAUCUUAUCGUGAAGGCAUACUUUCAGGAGUGAGGGUAGAGCGGGGUUUCCCCCGCCCUGGUAGUCUUAGUAAGCCGGGAAGCUUAUGACUAAGCGCACCACGAUGAUGAUCCACUUCAUCAUGACCCUUUCCUUAUU